Long non-coding RNA from Mytilus californianus (California mussel), 258 nucleotides. RefSeq lists it as uncharacterized. The transcript is spliced from 3 exons. NCBI's taxonomy places the organism in Eukaryota, Metazoa, Mollusca, Bivalvia, Mytilida, Mytilidae. The record is from RefSeq and is a predicted model, not a curated record.
AUUUAUUUGCCCCCAUUUGAUUACCACAUCAAGUUAACAGUUGCUCUCAGCAGUGCAAAAUGUCUUACAAAUAAACCCGUGUCGGAAAGUACAUACCGGGUAUAAAGAAUAAACAUGCCUUCGGUGAUUCAAAUAGUUUGAAAUAAUAAGAGAUGUUGUAGUUACAAGUGACUAAUGUGCAACAGAGACCAAAAUAUGGAACUACUGUGCAAGAUACCUAAAAUAUGCCCCUGUUAUAUCUGGGAAUGUGUCUAGCAG